UACGUUGGGGGCGAGCGUUAUCCGGAUUCAUUGGGCGUAAAGCGCGCGCAGGCGGACUUGCAAGCGGGGCCUUUAAUCUUAGGGCUUAACCUUAAGUCGGGCUCCGAACUGCAAGUCUCGAGUGUGGUAGGGGAAGGCGGAAUUCCCGGUGUAGCGGUGGAAUGCGUAGAUAUCGGGAAGAACACCGAUGGCGAAGGCAGCCUUCUGGGCCAUUACUGACGCUGAGGCGCGAAAGCUGGGGGAGCGAACAGG
This 252-nucleotide ribosomal RNA is filed under the name uncultured bacterium. Its description in RNAcentral is "partial 16S ribosomal RNA". It matches the Rfam family "Bacterial small subunit ribosomal RNA", at positions 524 to 776 of the family's 1533-position model. The record is from RNAcentral.